GACGAACGCUGGCGGCGUGCUUAACACAUGCAAGUCGAACGGAAAGGCCCUGCUUUCGUGGGGUGCUCGAGUGGCGAACGGGUGAGUAACACGUGAGUAACCUGCCCUUGACUUUGGGAUAACUUCAGGAAACUGGGGCUAAUAUCGGAUAGGAGCUCCUGCUGCAUGGUGGGGGUUGGAAAGUUUCGGCGGUUGGGGUUGGACUCGCGGCUUACCAGCUUGUUGGUGGGGUAGUGGCUUACCAAGGCUUUGACGGGUAGCCGGCCUGAGAGGGUGACCGGCCACAAUAGGACUGAGAUACGGCCCAGACUCCUACAGGGGGCAGCAGUGGGAAAUAUUGCACAAUGAGCGGAAGCCUGAUACGGCGACGCCGCGUUCGGGAUGACGGCCUUCGGGUUGUGAACCGCUUUCGCCUGUGACGAAGCGUGAGUGACGGUAAUGAGUAAAGAAGCACCGGCUAACUACGUG
This 468-nucleotide ribosomal RNA is filed under the name uncultured bacterium. Its description in RNAcentral is "partial 16S ribosomal RNA". It matches the Rfam family "Bacterial small subunit ribosomal RNA", at positions 28 to 507 of the family's 1533-position model. The record is from RNAcentral.